GACGAACGCUGGCGGCGUGCCUAAUACAUGCAAGUCGAGCGAAGUUUUUCUGGUGCUUGCACUAGAAAAACUUAGCGGCGAACGGGUGAGUAACACGUAAAGAACCUGCCUCAUAGACUGGGACAACUAUUGGAAACGAUAGCUAAUACCGGAUAACAGCAUUAACUGCAUGGUUGAUGUUUAAAAGUUGGUUUUGCUAACACUAUGAGAUGGCUUUGCGGUGCAUUAGCUAGUUGGUGGGGUAAAGGCCUACCAAGGCGACGAUGCAUAGCCGACCUGAGAGGGUGAUCGGCCACACUGGGACUGAGACACGGCCCAGACUCCUACGGGAGGCAGCAGUAGGGAAUCUUCCGCAAUGGGAGAAAGCCUGACGGAGCAACGCCGCGUGAGUGAAGAAGGAUUUCGGUUCGUAAAGCUCUGUUGUUAGGGAAGAAUGAUUGUGUAGUAACUAUACACAGUAGAGACGGUACCUAACCAGAAAGCCACGGCUAACUACGUGCCAGCAGCCGCGGUAAUACGUAGGUGGCAAGCGUUGUCCGGAAUUAUUGGGCGUAAAGCGCGCGCAGGUGGUUUAAUAAGUCUGAUGUGAAAGCCCACGGCUCAACCGUGGAGGGUCAUUGGAAACUGUUAAACUUGAGUGCAGGAGAGAAAAGUGGAAUUCCUAGUGUAGCGGUGAAAUGCGUAGAGAUUAGGAGGAACACCAGUGGCGAAGGCGGCUUUUUGGCCUGUAACUGACACUGAGGCGCGAAAGCGUGGGGAGCAAACAGG
Molecule: ribosomal RNA, 768 nt
Filed under: uncultured bacterium
Lineage: Bacteria
Description: bacterial SSU rRNA
Rfam family: Bacterial small subunit ribosomal RNA
Source: RNAcentral